GACGAACGCUGGCGGCGUGCUUAACACAUGCAAGUCGAACGGAAAGGCCCUGCUUUUGUGGGUUGCUCGAGUGGCGAACGGGUGAGUAACACGUGAGUAACCUGCCCUUGACUUUGGGAUAACUUCAGGAAACUGGGGCUAAUACCGGAUAGGAGCUCCUGCUGCAUGGUGGGGGUUGGAAAGUUUCGGCGGUUGGGGAUGGACUCGCGGCUUAUCAGCUUGUUGGUGGGGUAGUGGCUUACCAAGGCUUUGACGGGUAGCCGGCCUGAGAGGGUGACCGGCCACAUUGGGACUGAGAUACGGACCAGACUCCUACGGGAGGCAGCAGUGGGGAAUAUUGCACAAUGGGCGGAAGCCUGAGGCAGCAACGCCGCGUGCGGGAUGACGGCCUUCGGGUUGUAAACCGCUUUCGCCUGUGACGAAGCGUGAGUGACGGUAAUGGGUAAAGAAGCACCGGCUAACUACGUG
RNAcentral lists this ribosomal RNA (468 nucleotides) under uncultured bacterium. Its description in RNAcentral is "partial 16S ribosomal RNA". It matches the Rfam family "Bacterial small subunit ribosomal RNA", at positions 28 to 507 of the family's 1533-position model. The record is from RNAcentral.